Molecule: antisense RNA, 189 nt
Filed under: Eutrema salsugineum
Lineage: Eukaryota; Viridiplantae; Streptophyta; Magnoliopsida; Brassicales; Brassicaceae
Description: Antisense RNA which regulates isiA expression
Rfam family: Antisense RNA which regulates isiA expression
Source: Rfam by way of RNAcentral
AAUAACCAAAUAUAACACUUGGGCUAAGAGUCAAGUUGGUAAUUUUUCUUACAUCCCCCCCUCCUGGAGCCCAGGUAUCAUAUACGCCCCCAAAAAAUAGAGAGCCUUGAAUACUAGAAGAAAAGCACCUACACCUAACAAAAUUAAGUGAAUACCCAAAAUGGUGGUCAUUUUUUUUCUAUCUUUCCA